GACGAACGCUGGCGGCGUGCUUAACACAUGCAAGUCGAACGGUGAAGCUCCAGCUUGCUGGAGUGGAUCAGUGGCGAACGGGUGAGUAACACGUGAGCAACCUGCCCCAGACUCUGGAAUAAGCGCUGGAAACGGCGUCUAAUACUGGAUACGAGAUCAAGCCGCAUGGUUAUGGUCUGGAAAGUUUUUCGGUUUGGGAUGGGCUCGCGGCCUAUCAGCUUGUUGGUGAGGUAAUGGCUCACCAAGGCGACGUCGGGUAGCCGGCCUGAGAGGGCGACCGGCCACACUGGGACUGAGACACGGCCCAGACUCCUACGGGAGGCAGCAGUGGGGAAUAUUGCACAAUGGGCGAAAGCCUGAUGCAGCGACGCCGCGUGAGGGAUGACGGCCUUCGGGUUGUAAACCUCUUUCAGCAGGGAAGAAGCGAAAGUGACGGUACCUGCAGAAGAAGCACCGGCUAACUACGUG
Molecule: ribosomal RNA, 468 nt
Filed under: uncultured bacterium
Lineage: Bacteria
Description: partial 16S ribosomal RNA
Rfam family: Bacterial small subunit ribosomal RNA
Source: RNAcentral